GAGUUUGUCUUGGCUCAGGAUGAACGCUGGCGGCGUGCUUAACACAUGCAAGUCGAACGGGAAACCUUUUAUUGAAGCUUCGGCAGAUCUAGCUGGUUUCUAGUGGCGGACGGGUGAGUAACGCGUGGGUAACCUGCCUUAUACAGGGGGAUAACAACCAGAAAUGGCUGCUAAUACCGCAUAAGCGCACAGUACCGCAUGGUACGGUGUGAAAAACCCAGGUGGUGUGAGAUGGAUCCGCGUCUGAUUAGCCAGUUGGCGGGUAACGGCCCACCAAAGCGACGAUCAGUAGCCGACCUGAGAGGGUGACCGGCCACAUUGGGACUGAGACACGGCCCAAACUCCUACGGGAGGCAGCAGUGGGGAAUAUUGCACAAUGGGCGGAAGCCUGAUGCAGCGACGCCGCGUGAGUGAAGAAGUAUCUCGGUAUGUAAAAGCUCUAUCAGCAGGGAAGAAAAUGACGGUACCUGACUAAGAAGCCCCGGCUAACUACGUGCCAGCCGCCGCU
This 508-nucleotide ribosomal RNA is filed under the name uncultured bacterium. RNAcentral describes it as "bacterial SSU rRNA". It matches the Rfam family "Bacterial small subunit ribosomal RNA", at positions 9 to 519 of the family's 1533-position model. The record is from RNAcentral.